RNAcentral lists this ribosomal RNA (253 nucleotides) under uncultured bacterium. Its description in RNAcentral is "partial 16S ribosomal RNA". It matches the Rfam family "Bacterial small subunit ribosomal RNA", at positions 524 to 776 of the family's 1533-position model. The record is from RNAcentral.
GACGAACCGUCCGAACGUUAUUCGGAAUUACUGGGCUUAAAGGGUGCGUGGGCGGCGCGGAAAGUCGGGUGUGAAAUCCCUCGGCUCAACCGAGGAAUGGCGCUCGAAACUACCGUGCUCGAGGAAGGCAGAGGUGAGCGGAACUCAGGGUGGAGCGGUGAAAUGCGUUGAUAUCCUGAGGAACACCGGUGGCGAAAGCGGCUCACUGGGCCUUUUCUGACGCUGAUGCACGAAAGCUAGGGGAGCAAACGGG